UAAGGACAAGCCGAAAACCUUGUAGAGUAGGCA
This 33-nucleotide non-coding RNA is filed under the name unclassified sequences. The record is from RNAcentral.